CUCGGGCCUUGUACACACCGCCCGUCGCACCACGAAAGUUGGCAAUACCCGAAGCCGGUGGCCUAACCCGCAAGGGAGGGAGCCGUCGAAGGUAGGGUCGAUGAUUGGGGUG
Molecule: ribosomal RNA, 112 nt
Filed under: uncultured bacterium
Lineage: Bacteria
Description: partial 16S ribosomal RNA
Rfam family: Bacterial small subunit ribosomal RNA
Source: RNAcentral